GAUGAACGCUGGCGGCGUGCCUAAUACAUGCAAUUCGAGCGAACGGACGAGAAGCUUGCUUCUCUGAUGUUAGCGGCGGACGGGUGAGUAACACGUGGAUAACCUACCUAUAAGACUGGGAUAACUUCGGGAAACCGGAGCUAAUACCGGAUAAUAUUUUGAACCGCAUGGUUCAAAAGUGAAAGACGGUCUUGCUGUCACUUAUAGAUGGAUCCGCGCUGCAUUAGCUAGUUGGUAAGGUAACGGCUUACCAAGGCAACGAUGCAUAGCCGACCUGAGAGGGUGAUCGGCCACACUGGAACUGAGACACGGUCCAGACUCCUACGGGAGGCAGCAGUAGGGAAUCUUCCGCAAUGGGCGAAAGCCUGACGGAGCAACGCCGCGUGAGUGAUGAAGGUCUUCGGAUCGUAAAACUCUGUUAUUAGGGAAGAACAUAUGUGUAAGUAACUGUGCACAUCUUGACGGUACCUAAUCAGAAAGCCACGGCUAACUACGUG
Molecule: ribosomal RNA, 497 nt
Filed under: uncultured bacterium
Lineage: Bacteria
Description: partial 16S ribosomal RNA
Rfam family: Bacterial small subunit ribosomal RNA
Source: RNAcentral